RNAcentral lists this long non-coding RNA (351 nucleotides) under Carica papaya (papaya). Its description in RNAcentral is "long non-coding RNA (CPAP_LNC005499)". Lineage: Eukaryota; Viridiplantae; Streptophyta; Magnoliopsida; Brassicales; Caricaceae. The record is from RNAcentral.
UUGCGUGCGGAGCGGGGGAACCUUUUGGUUGCUUCCUGCAACCCCCCUUCCCCAGGGCUACGCUGUAGCCAGAUGGCCGUUACAUGUUUAUCGGUGCAGUUGCAAAACUAGGUUGGUUCGAUCAGUGUCAUUUUAGUCGUCGAUUGGAUUCUUCUUUUCGGUCUUUCAGGUUCUCUUUAUGCGAUUAUUUUUUGCCACCACUUCUCUUUCUUUCUGUUGUGACGACAGACGCGGUUUGCUAGUUCGCCGAAGCCGAUUGGCAUAUUGGCCAAAUGGCCUUAUGACCACAAUGUUGCGCGAUUAUGUGACCAAAAGAUCGUGCAAUCGUGCGGCUGAAUCCAAAAAACCAGA